This is a long non-coding RNA of Neofelis nebulosa (Clouded leopard), 313 nucleotides long. RefSeq lists it as uncharacterized. The transcript has 3 exons. The record is from RefSeq and is a predicted model, not a curated record. NCBI's taxonomy places the organism in Eukaryota, Metazoa, Chordata, Mammalia, Carnivora, Felidae.
UAUAGUUGUCAAUUGAAUGGCUGUCUGAAUGAGGUUGAGUGGUAAAGACAGAUGGAGACCAUAGUGACCUGAGGCCGGCCGAUGAAGACUUGGUUGUUGGUGGUUAAGGGAUGUGACAUGUGAGUGAACUGGAUAUGGGUUGCAAAGAGGAACACUGACCUGCCAUAAUCUACUGGAUCUUUCCUGGAGGUGAAGUUCAUUUUCUGUCAAAGAGAAAAAGACAAGUAAAUUCCACAAUCUAUAAAUCCACCCCUUCAUGCACAAAGGUUCCACUCCUGGAGAGCCUAAGGCAACCAAUGUCUCCAAAGGAAUG